This 104-nucleotide microRNA precursor is filed under the name Tursiops truncatus (common bottlenose dolphin). Its description in RNAcentral is "microRNA 203b (ENSTTRG00000022850.1)". The stretch from base 8 to 87 matches the Rfam family "mir-203 microRNA precursor family". The record is from RNAcentral. Lineage: Eukaryota; Metazoa; Chordata; Mammalia; Artiodactyla; Delphinidae.
GCGGAUCGCGCGCUGGGUUCAGUGGUUCUUAACAGUUCAACAGUUCUGUAGCGCAAUUGUGAAAUGUUUAGGACCACUAGACCCGGCGGGCCUGCACGAAGCGA